GCACAAUUAGUAUAGUAUGUAUAUUGAAUUUAGGUUUUAAAGGAAUGAUUGUGUU
This 55-nucleotide transfer RNA is filed under the name Angiostrongylus cantonensis (rat lungworm). RNAcentral's name for it is "tRNA-Leu". The record is from RNAcentral. Lineage: Eukaryota; Metazoa; Nematoda; Chromadorea; Rhabditida; Metastrongylidae. RNAcentral also lists the same sequence under 1 other name.